Molecule: unclassified non-coding RNA, 11214 nt
Filed under: Nilaparvata lugens (brown planthopper)
Lineage: Eukaryota; Metazoa; Arthropoda; Insecta; Hemiptera; Delphacidae
Description: uncharacterized LOC111059440, transcript variant X5
Source: RNAcentral
UGUUGUAUAGAUGGUGUAUAUUAUUAGUAAUUAUGAUAGAUUAGGCCUAUACAUAGAUCAUUCAUUUUUGUAUGAAUAAAUAAAUGCAUAAAUAGGAUGAAAUGCAGUAUGAGGUGCAGUGAGUGGAUAAUGUUUGAGAACUUGGUGUUACUUAGUGGACAUAGUUAGUGUGCUUACUGGAAUUACCUGUGUGAAAUCUGCUAUGUUCACCUGCUUCUGGCAUCUAUGGUCAUGGCUGGAUCCACCGGUAACCUCACCCCUAGCCAGCCCUGCUGUUAUAACCAUGGCAUCAAUCAAGAAGAGCGGGGUAGGCAGUGGGGUGAGUCCCAGCGGGGCAGGGCCCCCUGUGGGGGGUGUUGGUACCCCCACACGACGCAACAGUCAGGUGCGGUCCCCAUGCAUCAAGCGACUGCCCUCGGCACCUGUCACACUGCAAGGGUGGCUGCAUAAGCAGGGCUCAGACGGACUUAUGCUCUGGAAGAAGCGAUGGUUCGUCCUGUCCGACUACUGUCUGUUUUAUUACAAGGGACAAGAAGAGGAGAAGCUGUUGGGUUCCAUCCUGUUGCCAUCGUACCGAAUCUCACCUUGCUCCUCGGAUGACAAGCUGUACAGCCGCAAGUUCAGCUUCAAGGCAGAGCACGCCAACAUGCGCACUUACUACUUCGCGGCUGAAUCCCAGCAACAGAUGGCCCAGUGGAUGAAUGCCCUUAGUCUGGCAUCCAUAUUACAGGAUUCUGCUAACUGUUGGGACGAACACAGAUCCGGAGGCUCAACAAACAACCGCAAUAACAUUAACAACAACAACAACACAUCAGACAGCGACUCAGGCUUCCAACCGAACCAACGUUUGCAACCACACCACACCUACAACGACAUCCCCUCACAGAAUACCAACAACAGUUGGCAGACCUGUCACACCAACAUGCAACUGCCUCCAGGCUACCAACCUUUGUACGCGAAUGCACCUCCGAAACCCAGACGUCUCAACGAUAGUUCUUCGACUGAAAGAUCUCCGGAACGUCACCAUGAUGACGUGGGAGGUAGAACCUCGAGGAUGGGUGCUCAACCUCAACAGGAAACCUAUAACAGGGGAGUUCCUCAACAGGAAACCUAUAACAGGGGUCCAGUGAAUGUUCAACCUCAACAAGGGGUCGUCUAUAAUGCUCAACACUCUCAUCACAGAACUGUGAACAACCUGUACGUGAUCAACAAUAUCAGUAGCUGUAACAACCCUAACGUAGUUUCCACUGCUCAAUUGAUGAAUAACUCUGAGAGGAGAACUCCAGAUACUUAUGGGAGGUCAAAUAACGCAACUCCUUGUGCUCAACAGGCUGUGAGGGUCAAACAACGCAGCGCUGAUUAUGAGGAUGUCUACCAGAAUAAUCCUGAUUUAGUUGCUAACACGAAUGUGCAUCAUAGGGGUUGUCAAUCGCCGUAUCAUCCUGGAGGUAGCAUACCAGGAGGUGCAGGAGGUAGCAUACAAUACCUACCAGGAGGAACCUCUUCAUACCUACCAGGAGCAACAGGAGGUUCAUCUCCAUACCAACCAGGAGGUAGCAUAUCUCAUCAACCAGGAGGAACAUCUUCAUAUCUACCAGGAGGAACAGGAGGUACAUCUCCAUAUCAACCAGGAGUUAUAGGAGGAGCAACAGGAGCCUACCAACCAGGAGUUAUAGGAGGUACCAUAUCCUAUCAACCAGAAGGACCAGGAGCCUACCAGGUGCAAUACAGGAGGUACCAAGCUCAGGAAAGUGUGGAGGAACGCCAGAGGCGGUUCCAGGUGAGACCUCACAGUGCGGACUUCCUAGAGUAUGACACCAGGUACCAUUCCCCCACACCACAGAGUAGCGAGAGAGACUCAUACGACGGCAGACCUGUGAGACCACAGAGUCAGCGGAGGGUUAGUGGUAGUGCUCAGCAGAAACCGCGACCGAAGUCCAGUAUGGAGAUAGCGCAUCCUAGUGACUUUGACACUCAACAGCAUUGGUCAGAGGAGAGUUAUGCGAGGAAAAUGAGACAGAGUGCUUCAUUUGUGGCUCCUCAAAUUCAGGUGCCCAACGCUUCAUCUAGGGCGACUACACCGUCCUUGAAACAGGUGGCUUUUCCUGGUGUAGGGUCGAUGCCUUAUGAUGCAGCCGUCAGUUACAACCAUACCAAAUCACAGGGGAGUGCUACAAUGCGGAGUCAUUGUGAGGUAAUUGAACGCCAAGAACGCAAAUGGAACGACUACGUGGAGAGCCGAGGCACUGUCCCGUUUGUGAGGUCGGCUAGUGCGAGGUUGGCAAGACAGCUGCCCGAUGACCUUGACUUCGACCCCAAGGUCACUCACCCUGAUAACCUCAUGGAAACAGGUCAGCUGGCUUUCAAGCGACGUAACAGCACGGAACCCAGGGAGAGCGGUACAAAGAUUCAACAGAGAGAAGAAUCAAUGAAACGUCUCCUAGAAUGGAAACAGCGUAUGCUGCAAUCCCCGCUCACCCGCAAAAACUCCGGGUCAUCGUCGGCCGGUGGCCGGUCAACCACACACCAGGAGCUCAAACACUACAAGCAACAGCUGGCGUUGUCCGCCGACCAUCAGUCAGCUGUUCAGCUAUCAGCUGUCAAUUCAACAGCUGAUCAGCUGUCAGCUGUUGAUCACCAGCGGGCCGUCAGCACGAUGCCUGAGAUGAGAUCUUCUAGGAGGAAAGAAGACCAGGCGCUGAGAUCUGCUUCUACCAGGAGCCGAGACGACCAGGCGUCGAGAUCUGCUUCUACCAGGAGUCGAUCCCAGGACGGUAGGAGGUCGGCCAGUCUUGCCAACCGUUAUACCAGCUACUCUUCAGACGAUGAAGAGGUACAAGAAUCUCGCGAAUCGUGGAAAAGGACCCGGCGUCUCUCACAACAGCAGCCGAAGACAAUCCGUCCUGACAACUGGGAAGGCAAGCAGGCGGCGGCAAACUACGAAAAUUUGGAAUUGGCGCGCUCCGUCGACCACUCCCCAUCGACCAAUCAGAAGCCGAGCAGCAAUUCGUCCUCCAAUCAGAAGCCGAGAACCGGCGACAGCAGCAACUCAUCCACCAAUCAGAAACCGAGAAUCGGUGAAGCUAAAACGGUGAGCUUUGAAAGGAGUAAUCUAGCUUCCCCUUUCCAAAGUGACACUAAAAAUAGUGGGGUAUCACCACAACAAACCCUCGAUUACAGUGAAACAAACAGCAAAACUCAAAACCCUGGAGAUUUGUUGGAGGCUUCUCAAGAAAACUUCUCCUUCCUACAUUCCCAGCACCGACAACAGAUCUUCAGUAGUAAACACUCGGACAGUGGGUAUGACACCCUCAAAACUGGUCCUACCAUGUCAUCAGAUCCUGAAGUGAGAGAUCUCCUGAAAUUCCGCUUCGACAAGAGCCAGGAUCUUACAGUUUACCCAGUGCAGGUGAAACAGGGCAAACCAGACCCCAGUAAAGAACCGUGGCAAACAAAGCUGGAUGAGUCAAGGUUGAUCAAAGAGUAUUCCUAUCAGUACAUAAAGUUGAGCAAAGAGGAUGGGUCAAACGAGGAUGAGGAUCCAAUGUUGAAACAAGAUGGUUCACCACCACAGAACCUAGUUCAGCAUCGGAUAAAAGCGUUUGAAGGUUCCGGAGAGGAGGAUAAAGAUGAGAAGUGCAAGGAUGGUAAACUGAGGAUGCAAGAUCCGUUGAGAGUGACGUCACCAGUGUAUCAUCCCAAUGAAGCUCAUGUAUCAAUGUUGAGGAGUACAGACAGUCUGACGCCUUCACCUUGUGACCUGAAACAGUCCACCCAAGAAAGUACAAAUCUACGUAGAAUGAGGAGAACAAGUCUCCAUGGAUUUGCUUUGGGUGAUGCAACUUUAGCAUUGGACGAAGAUGCAAAGAUUGUGAUGGAGGAGGAACGUUUCGCAAAGAAAAGUAAUCCGAAAUCAGUGAGGGAUUUGUUGGCUGAUUUUGAGAAGAAGUCUCAGCUAGCUAAGGAGCAACUGGCGGCUGAGGAGCGGAGUAGUGAAGAAAGCCCUGGUAAAAGAUGUGUGUUCAGUGACACAGAAACACUGCUGUAUGAUACAUCCAGUGACGCUGAGUGUCACUCAAAUAGCGGAUCAGUGUUGUCAAAAAUCAGACGCCCAGAAAUGUUGGUGAGUGAGGAUGAUGAGGAGGAUAGAGAUGAGGAAGUAGCUGCAGCUCUGGGAAAACGUGAUACUUUCUUCAGUGCCUGUCGUGACCUUGGCAGGAAAACUGAGACAAAUCCCAAACAGAAAUCCAAAGCAGACAGUAUCGAGCAAGGCUAUCUAGAUGCAAACGGUUAUAAGCGGCUUAGUGUUGCUGAUUCUAUGAUCACCCAUGAGGAUCUAGAAUCACAUUGCAGUUCACCGAAAACUGCACCAAAACGGGCUCCUUCAAGCUUAAACAUUGGAAACGUGAGUGUGACAGAUGUAUUGGAAGAACAUUACAUGCCAAUGACACCCUCAAAGAAAUCUGUUCUGGCUCCCCCCAAUGAAGGUGGUCUAGUAGCUCAUACUAGAAGCAACUCUGCCUCACAAACACUCAUCAUGGAGAAUCUGUUAGUCAAUGAAGAAAGCUCCUAUGUUGAAAUGACUGAAAAUGGAAUGAUUCGCUCUCUGUUAGCUCCUGAAUCCAAUAAAAAGUUUUCAACUAAAUUAGAACUUCAAAGAAUGGUAUCAAACACUGAUUCGGCCUGUUACACUGAGAUCGAUCAAGCAAACAAAAUGGGUUCACCACUGAGUGCUCACUAUGAACUUCUAUACAGAUCUGGAGCUGCAAAUAAUUCACAGACUGAGCCUCUAUACAUGGAAGUCAACUCUUUGCCAAGUGAGGAGAAGUGUUUAGAUGCUGGUGCAUCUCAAGGGGAGAGAUCAGUGAAAUUGAGUCAUGAGUCUCUCAAUAAACGUGAGGAAGCUGGAGAUGGUGCUGAAAACCCUCAUCCGGUUUCAAGAGCUGCCCUACCUGACAUCUUAAACUCUUCCACGAAUGUCACAAAUCAGAAACAAUCAUCCAUCAAGUCCGACAGUUCUGAUGCUGAUGAUGAAGCAUCAAAAGAUUUGGACUCAUUGGAUGCUCCAAGACAUCCUAGAUUCAGUCUUUCUGACACAUUCAGACCAGCUUCCUAUUAUCUGGGUGCUAGCAUGGUUGAGAGAACCUUGGUUGGUAUCAACAAUUCAGAGCAACAAGACUCGUCUGACAGUGACCUGGUUUCACCUCCUCCCAUACCCACAAGCCCUCCUCCAAUGGAUGACUUGGAAACUUCACUGGAAUCAACAAUUGACUUGAAAAAAUCCUCACCUCUACACAAUAUGAAGAAUGACAAAAAGGAUUCCACUGAUGGCCAGAAGGAUUCAAAACUAUGGAACUCAACCUUGUCUCACAGUGAUGAUACAAUCACUGAACACAUGGACAAAUACUUCAGCACUUCGAUUUCAAGACUAGAUGAAACCAUCAGUUCAGAGACUGAUUCAAUUGAAUCGUGUAGGAGGGACAGAUUGAAGCGGCGACCUGUCUCAGCUGAUGUUCUACAUAGUUUGAACAGACCUUAUGAUUUAUUAGAUCUUGAGGAUGGCAUGAAUGUUGAUUUGGAUCAGUAUCUGGCUGAUUUGAAUCUCAUGAGUGAAGUCUCUCACAAUAUGCCUUUGAAUUCCAACCACAGAUUGUAUCAGAGUGAGAAGUAUCUCCCUGGUGAAAUUCCAAGUCAAAGUGUACAAGAUACCAACUCGAGGAAUGUAAAUAGCUAUCAAAUUGACAGUGAUGAGGUGCAAUAUGAGAAUCUUCAACUGAUGUAUCCUCAACCGCCUCCCACAAGCAACUCACUGGAUGAGUUGAGUAUUGAGCACGAUGUAGAUAACGAUACAUAUAUCACUUUGGAAAACCCAAUGAAUUUACCCGAGACCAUGGUAAUGGUUAGGAGACCAGAAGACAACCAAGAAGGGGCUGUUGAUCAGAGUGGUGCACCCUAUUACUAUGCAGACCUCUUGAAGGGUGAUCCCAAUGCAGCCCAUGUUGCAGUGGACAACAUAAACAUUAUGGCCCACAAUUCUAGUCAAGCAGUGAGGAAUCCUCGUGUGGGAUCUAUGUUGAACAAUCAGAGAGAAAGUCCUGUUGAGAUUAUCUGCUCAAACAAACGCAAUGAUGUGGGUCGUAAGGUGAAUCAGAUCCAUGGUGCUGUUGGCAGCACUUACCCCGAAUUGGAACAGAUGGAUGAUGCUGCUAGGUUGGCACUUGAACUGAGAAACUCAGCCAGGUUUUUGAGUGACAAAUCCGAGUUUGUAGAUGAGAGGAACCUGUAUGAAUCAAACACCUUGCGACGAAAAACUGUGUCAAUGUCUGCAGGUGACUACCGCAGUCAAACACCUGAUGCACUAGGAAACACAACUAACUCGCACAACAUCUACCCUCAUGGAAUCCGAGACAAAGAUGUAUCAAGCAGACAAACUACAACUCGGAGACGAAGUCGAUCGUUGGAAGGUCUGCUGGAUGAACCAGACUUCCAGAUCCCACCAGAGCCUUCUAGAAGCACCAGAGUUUCACCAGGCAAUGCUAUCUCCAGACUACUACAAACAACACGUCCUCAAACACAAGCUGUGCGAACAUCAACUGCUAACAUCCCACAGAAUAUUGCUUCAAGUUCGAGAGCACCAGAACCCAGAGCUCCCCCGCCUCCUCCUGAUGUGUGGGAAGAAGACACACUAUGGAGAGAGAAUCUGAGGAGAGCUAGUUUGAGACACACUAGGUCAUUAGAUGAUUUAGACAGAGAUACACCAACUGUUGAAGAGGCACCAGCUGUUCCCAAACAUCAUCAAACUAAUCAACCAGAUCCUCAACAUGUACCAUCAAAUCAACAGGUGUCACCUCAUCAACAAGCACUACUGCAACAACAAUACCACCAGGUUCCACCCCAUCAGACACAAGCCCAACAACAAAAGGUUACACCACAACAUCCUACAAUGGUUCAACAAAAAUAUACUCAAGUACCACCUCAUCAACAACAGUAUCCUCAGGCACAACCAAAUCAACAACAAUAUCCACAAAUACCACAACAAGCCAAACCACAACGAGCAUCGGCCACUCAACAACAAACUACCCCACCACAACAACAGAAUAACAGUUGUAAGUUGAGUAGGGAUGUGACAUAUGUGAAUGACAGUGUAGUCCAUAGACGUGUGAACCAUAGAGAGUAUGAAGAAGAUUAUAGAGAGGGAAGGUCGAAGAUGGCCGCUUCUAGACAACCCCCAAGUGUGAAUGGUGGAGGGGAUGAUGAUGAAGCAUUGUAUGAGAGGUUGGUGAGGGAUGAUAGGGAUGGUAGUUUACGUGGAAAUCAACAACAAAGUGUGGGAAAUGGUGUUGAUGUUAGAGAAGUGGGUGAUUUGGGGAGAACAGGAAGUAGCAGUAAACCAGUUCCAACUGGUUCCAACAGUCAACCACAGCCUUAUAAACCGGUUCCAACUGGUUCCAAUGGUCAACCACAGCCUUUCAUACCGUUUCAAACCGGUUCCAACAGUCAACCGCAGCCUUUCAAACCUGUUCAAACCGGUCCCAACGGUCAGCCACAGCCUUUUAAACCGGUUCAAUCUGGUCCCAACGGUCAGCCGCAGCCUUUUUUAGACAUAGGCUGGUACCCCACCAGACCGCCGUCGUUCGAGAUCGACCGCGAGAAGCUAAGGCAGUGGGACCUGAUGUCCAGCGCCCCAUCAGGCAUGGUUGGAGCGGGCCGCAUGGGGGGACGAAUCCCUGCCAAAAACCCAGCGCUGUCGCCUCCAGGGGCGGACCCAGCUGCCCCCCUGGAUCCCAACCGACCCUUGGACCUGCCGCCAAACAGUUCACAAGCGUCAGGAUCCGGAUCAGUGAUUGGCCGGGACCCCCUCCCACCGCGCACCAUAAUCGACAAGCAGCCAAUGACAGCCAACGGCGUGGCGCAGGGGGCGGGGCUCAGCGCCAGCAGCAGCCAAUCACAGCGCACCGUCUCCCCCUCGCCCCACCAUCCGCCUCUCUACACUCCACCGCCAGGGCCAAUCAUGCGUCAGCCCGAACCCGACCUUUCACACAAGAGGAUUGACGGCCCACCCUGUACAUGGAACCUUCAAAUGUCAGCUGGAGAACUGCUGGGCAGAACUCAUGAGGAACUAGUUCUCUUACUAAUCCAACUCCGCCGUCAGAGCGCAGGUUUUUGCAAGGCCAUGGAAGGAUGUCACAUCGAAAUUGAGGCUCAGGCAAGGCUUGCUGAACUUGAAACACCCAAACGGAUGGAGCAUCUACAGAAGCUUGAGGAUUUGAAGAGGCAUCUUCUAGAAUUGGAAAAACAGUACGAGAAAGGCAAACCGCUAGUGAACCUGGUGGACAACAUGGUGAAGCUAGGCUCGCUGUACAGGGCUGGCUCCACACCAGGCGGCAAACCUGCACAGUCGGCAACCUGCACAGUGAACCUGCACAGUCCCCUGUUGAGAGAGCGACUCCAGUUCAACCACAAGGUGCAAGAACAGAGGUUGUUAGCCGAGCAGCAGAGAGACUGGGACAGGCUUAGUCCCGAUCAUAAUCAACUGCAGGCAAAGGUGGCUCAACUCUAUAGGCUGGAUAAACUGCUACAAGAGGAGAGUGGAACACUGCAUAGUCUACAGCAAGAUAAGGAAAUGCUAGAGCAAGCCCUGGGAGGUCUACGACACAAACUGCAAGUGAUCGACAACAACCCGGUGGAAGCAGAGCGGUAUCGCAAGCAGCAGCGACUACUGGAGCGGGAACUGACGCGCGUCAGGUCCAUUCUGGCUCACAACUCUAAGAAACUGGAGGAGACUGUGGCAGAAAACGCUAGGCUGGAACAGGAGUUGGUUGUACUUAGACAGAAGGUACAAACAUCUCGCCGUAUCCCAGACCCGGCGACUGGACCGACUACAGCCGCGCUGGAAGCCGAGUUACGUCGCGUUCAGACUCUGGUGGGAGAUCUACAGCGUCAGCGACAUGAGCUCAGCAUACAAGUGCGACAGCUCACCGACAAGAGUCGAUCGCUCAGUCAGCAAAUUCGUCCCGGUCCCACUGGAGUCGCAGCUCAUUAUGAGAGUGACUACUAUGAUUAUUAUUGGCCCUAUUACUUGCCAGGAGCAGGUGCUUUGAUGGGUAAGAAGCGACCGCUGCACACCAGCUGGCUGGAGACUGACCUUGACUCUCAGGUGACGCGUGACCUUGGCAUGGAUGCGCGUGACCUUGGCCUAGAUUCUCCCACCCCUACCUCACCAACACCUCCUCCACCCCCUCCACCGCUCUAUGUCAACACUGAUAAUGAUAGUUCAGCUGCUGUGAGUCCUACAAACAUCAGCUCUAAUAAUUCUGAAUUGGCGAGCAGAGACGACAUGAGCCAUCAGAUGCAGUACUGCCGGCCGAUGGACAUAAGCGAGGCAGACGACCGCAUCAAGCGGUUCUACGGCAUCAUACCCAAGGACAAACCGCAGGAAAUCAAGACGGUGCGCAUCGUGAAGCGCGAAUCGGAGAGGCGACAGAGAGACAGGGAUAGGAGCGGCAAUAUCGGCAUACCGCUCACUAAUAACAACAUCCCCAACAAACGGUUGCCCUACCUUGAUGAGUACAGUAAUGAGCAACCAAUGACAACAUCAUCGUCAUCAUCAUCGAUGACGUCAUCGGUGACGUCAGUGCUGACCAAAGUGAUGGAGGAGGAAACCCCCUCCUCCUCAGUACCCCCUCCUGCACCCUCGCCACGCACCGAUUCUGUCAACGCCAUACGAAACCUGGUCAACAGGCAGCAAAUGCAAUUGGCUAAAUCCAAGUUUGACCUGAUGAACGGUGGUAGCAGCAGUAACAGCAGCAGCAAUCAGCUGUCAGCUACCGAACAGCUGUUUGGUCCAGCUUCCCCGCAGCUGACAGCUACCGAUCAGCUGUUUUCGUCGCAGCUGACAGCCACUGAUCAGCUGUUCUCACCGCAGGCAACCAAUCAACUAUCACCCCGAUCAGCUGUUCUCGCGACAGAUCAGCUGUUUUCACCUCAACAGUCUGCGAGCGAUCAGCUGUUUUCGCCGCAGUCGACAGAUCAGCUGUUUUCGCCGCAGCUAUCGCCCGUCUACCAGAGCGAGGCUGCGAGGCAGAUAAUCGAGGAGAUGAGUGCCUCGAGGCAAGGUGGCUGUUCGUCGAACAAACGCCUCGUGCCUCGCGAGAAACGUCGGCACCACACUGUUUCCGGGAGGCCGCUCUUCAGGAUAGACACUUCUUAUGCUGCCGGAGGCUCCAGGGACGACCUAGACAUGGAACGCGCUCUCAGACCACGCCUGAACGCUCCCGACGUUGUGCGGUCCACGCUCAGCCGCGUCGACACCAAGUUCUCUUCGGAGACCAUUGAUAACCUCCUGGGAACUCCCAACAAGAUCCUGAUUCCCGAGCGGUAUGUGCCUGAGACAUCCCCAGAGCUGACUGUUGAAGAGCAGGCGAAACGAAGCAAAAAAGCAGAUGCUAUCAGGAAGAUGUUGUCUGAAACUACAAGCACUGGGACUAUUGUUAAUCAGGAUCCUGUGUCGCCUAAUGAAGCAGAAAACGAUUUGGAAGAAGAGAAGUCGUCAACGCUCAAAAAGAAGGUGCAGGAAGAGAAACGCCAGAGAGAGCAUCUUCUACAGCUCAAUCAAAUUCUCGCACAGCAAGUCAUGGAAAAAAGUAAAAUUGUGGCAGGAUCGACACCAAAUAUUUCCUCACCUGCCUCUUGCUCGCCAGGCUCUGGACAUAAUUAGAUUAAUUAGUUAGUUGAUUAAUUGAAGCCAGUAUUUCAAAUGCUCUCCAGCCAGAUACGCCAAGUGAAAGCGCUCAAAAACCUUCCAUUGGAACUCGAGAAGAAGAGAGAGAUGGAAGCCGAUGAAGACGAUCUCUCUCCGGCCGAUCCUCUCCCUCUCUAUCAACAAAGAGAACAAUUCUUCUCUUAACGCUCACUUAGAAUAAUUGAUCUCAAUAAUAUCACAAUUAUUCACAUUUCCACCAUCAGAUUUAUCUGACUUCAGAUACUGUUGUUAGUGGGAUUUGGUGAUAUUUAUCCAUAAUAAAACACUAGAUUGUUGUCUAGAAAUAUCACUAAUUUAUUUAAAACUAGCAGGUAACCCGUGCUCCGCAAGAGUCUAAUUAAAAACUGGACAAACUGGAAACUUGACUUACUGAAAUCUUGAAGAAUUUAAAGUAGGUCUUAUAACCAUCCUCCGUACAGUAAAUUGAGAAUCUUCAUGCGAAAUUUCAAGUU